RNAcentral lists this ribosomal RNA (253 nucleotides) under uncultured bacterium. Its description in RNAcentral is "partial 16S ribosomal RNA". It matches the Rfam family "Bacterial small subunit ribosomal RNA", at positions 524 to 776 of the family's 1533-position model. The record is from RNAcentral.
UACAGAGGUCUCAAGCGUUGUUCGGAUUCAUUGGGCGUAAAGGGUGCGUAGGCGGUGAGGUAAGUUGGAUGUGAAAUCCCGGGGCCUAACCCCGGAACUGCAUUCAAUACUGCCUUGCUAGAGUACUGGAGAGGAGAUUGGAAUUCACGGUGUAGCAGUGAAAUGCGUAGAUAUCGUGAGGAAGACCAGUGGCGAAGGCGAAUCUCUGGACAGUAACUGACGCUGAGGCACGAAGGCCAGGGGAGCAAACGGG